Molecule: long non-coding RNA, 700 nt
Organism: Alosa alosa (allis shad)
Lineage: Eukaryota; Metazoa; Chordata; Actinopteri; Clupeiformes; Clupeidae
Exons: 3
Source: RefSeq, a predicted model, not a curated record
AGAAUCUGGAUAUUUGAGUGAAGUUUUAUAUUGAAGAUGCCGUGUCCAAGCAAGCGCUCCAGGGCAGCCAAAAAAGAGACAGGCUGAUUUGAGGUCCACUAAGAUGCCGGCUGAUGUCGCUGAGUCAGGACAGACUACAGUGGACCGAGAUACCGAGGUUUUGCCACCGCUACCUCGUAAAAAUAAAGCAAGGGCCGAGGUUUUGCCAGCGCUACCUCAUAAAAAAAAGGCCAGUGCUCCGCAGUCUUCGGACGCCAACUUUGUUCCCGUACUGCUCACGUACUGCUCAAACUCAGCCAAACUCUGCUGAAACUCUGCUCAAACUCAGCCAAACUGCUGACUCUCUGAAUAUGUGCCAUGACUCUGCAAACCCACUGUCAAAUACUUUGACUUCUAAUGCUACUAAUGAUUGUUUGAUUGAAUCUGUUGACUUCCCAGAGAGAUCUGUGCUGAUGGGGUCCUUUCAUCAAGGCGAUUUGCAAAUGUGCGCAACAAGCAGUGUGGUGCCAUCAGUUUGACUGCUGUUUUGAAGUCCAAGAUGAAGAACAUGUGGAGUUGGGAAACUCGAGAUCUUGAUGAUGUUUUGAUUAAGGGAACUGUUCUUUACAGGUCAAUGAGUGCACAGGGUAAAAUAAGAGACCAAGGAAGGGGUUACAUUGUUGUCUGAAUUGCCUAGGCAAUAUGAAGUGUGGAAUUGUGA